GUCUACGGCCAUACCACCCUGAACGCGCCCGAUCUCGUCUGAUCUCGGAAGCUAAGCAGGGUCGGGCCUGGUUAGUACUUGGAUGGGAGAAUGAUUAUCACAAAAAAACCAAAAAUGCUUGUGAGCUUGUGGAGA
Molecule: ribosomal RNA, 135 nt
Filed under: Castor canadensis (American beaver)
Lineage: Eukaryota; Metazoa; Chordata; Mammalia; Rodentia; Castoridae
Source: RNAcentral